UAAGGAAUAUUGGACAAUGGAGGCAACUCUGAUCCAGCCAUGCCGCGUGAAGGAAUAAGGCCCUAUGGGUUGUAAACUUCUUUUAGACGGGACAAAACCCCUUUACGUGUAAAGGGUUGAUGGUACUGUCAGAAUAAGCAUCGGCUAACUUCGUGCCAGCAGCCGCGGUAAUACGAAGGAUGCAAGCGUUAUCCGGAAUUAUUGGGUUUAAAGGGUGCGUAGGCGGACUAAUAAGUCAGUGGUGAAAGCCUGCGGCUUAACUGCAGAAUUGCCAUUGAUACUGUUAGUCUUGAGUACAGUUGAGGUAGGCGGAAUGUGUCAUGUAGCGGUGAAAUGCUUAGAUAUGACACAGAACACCGAUUGCGAAGGCAGCUUGCUAAGCUGUAACUGACGCUGAGGCACGAAAGCGUGGGGAGCAAACA
RNAcentral lists this ribosomal RNA (422 nucleotides) under uncultured bacterium. Its description in RNAcentral is "bacterial SSU rRNA". It matches the Rfam family "Bacterial small subunit ribosomal RNA", at positions 355 to 774 of the family's 1533-position model. The record is from RNAcentral.